Molecule: ribosomal RNA, 210 nt
Filed under: Triticum aestivum (bread wheat)
Lineage: Eukaryota; Viridiplantae; Streptophyta; Magnoliopsida; Poales; Poaceae
Description: partial small subunit ribosomal RNA
Source: RNAcentral
AUGUUUCAGACACAUGAGAACCUGGAACACAUAGCAAUGAUGGAGAGGGUUUUGGGACCCGUACCAGAGCACAUGAUAUGGAACGCUAGAUAUGUGAUACCUGGAGGGCGGAUCUUGUACACCGUUGAAGCUGGCGCCAUGUCCUGGACCUGUCUAGCGUCAGGUCCAGAAGGGGAUCCGCGCCGGCGCAAUGGAUACCGGCGGUUUUGA